This is a long non-coding RNA of Felis catus (domestic cat), 979 nucleotides long. RefSeq lists it as uncharacterized. The transcript is spliced from 2 exons. Lineage: Eukaryota; Metazoa; Chordata; Mammalia; Carnivora; Felidae. The record is from RefSeq and is a predicted model, not a curated record.
UGUUAAUUACAUUUGUAACAAUUUCACCAUAUAUCAAAUCAUUUUGUUAUAAAUCUUAAGCUUACACAAUGCUAGGUGUCAAUUAUAUCUCAAUAAAGCUGGACAAAAAAAGACCUGGAAAGUAUCUCUUGGAAACAUAAUCACCACAAGAAACAGAGCCCCUAUAUGCCAGGGUCUGUGGGAGGGUGGAGACCCAACUUUGAUAACUGUGGAUUAGUCAGCACAGAUGGCAGUAACCAUAUGACCAUCCCCCCUCCUCCAACAUCCUCCAAUACUUUUCUACUAGCUCACCCCCGUGCUUCACAACUCUCUUGUCUUUUGUUGCAGGGGAGUUGAAUUUUCUCUCUCUCUGCUACUACAAGGGCCUUAAGGAGGAAGACACCAACGCCCAGCCCAGCUUUGACCACUGGAAAUUAUAUAACCUGUUGUCUAUGUCACACACCACUGAGUUUAGCAUCUGGGCAACGAGUUAGCUGCACCGCGGGUGAGAUAAACCUUUUAAUCUAUGUACAAAGUAAGAAUCUUUUUGGCCACAGCUUUAUAACCUCUGGUGCUUUGGACCUACAAAUAAAUCACUCAUAAAAUAGAAAAUCUGGCAGAAAAUUUGGGACACUAAAAUAGCCUGCAAAUUAUUUAAUUUUAGAAAUUCAAUAACUGCUAUCAAACACACAUGAUGAAGAUGAAUGUAUCUCUUGCAAUUUUCACAGUUUGGCCCACCAGAGAAUACCUGCAAGGCAAGGUCACCAGAGCUGGGAUUGUGUUCACACUUUUGAAAUUAAGUCCUUGAUAAAGAAAAUAUCUUCACUCAAAAUUGAAACAUACAUUCACAAACAAGAAUCAACACACAAUAAAGUACUGCUUCUGACUGAACAAUUCCUGAUAGUACUCAAUGCAAGUCAAUGCCAAAAGAAUGCAUGUCACAUUACUUACUGCAGAAAAAUUGCUAUGUUAUGUAAUUACAUUCUUUUUAUAUUCACUA